Molecule: ribosomal RNA, 211 nt
Filed under: Microbacterium sp. MH-7
Lineage: Bacteria; Bacillati; Actinomycetota; Actinomycetes; Micrococcales; Microbacteriaceae
Description: partial 16S ribosomal RNA
Rfam family: Bacterial small subunit ribosomal RNA
Source: RNAcentral
UGUGGAUCAGUGGCGAACGGGUGAGUAACACGUGAGCAACCUGCCCCUGACUCUGGGAUAAGCGCUGGAAACGGCGUCUAAUACUGGAUAUGAGACGUGACCGCAUGGUCAGCGUUUGGAAAGAUUUUUCGGUUGGGGAUGGGCUCGCGGCCUAUCAGCUUGUUGGUGAGGUAAUGGCUCACCAAGGCGUCGACGGGUAGCCGGCCUGAGA